AUGUUCCGACUAAUUCUGCUGCAGCUGCUUCUGGCAGCAGGAUGUGUGAGGUGUGAACAUCUGACACAGCCAUCAUCUGUAGUUUUGCAGCACGGCCAGCAGCUAGCCAUCAGCUGUCAGGUCUCUUACUCUGUGGGUAACCAUCACACUCAUUGGAUCAGGCAACCACCAGGAAAAGGGCUGGAGUGGAUUGGAGGGGCUCGUGUUGGAUAUGCAACAUACCAGAAAAGUUCUCUAAAGAACAAGUUCAGCUUCAGCUUAGAGUCGUCCAGCAACACAGUGACUCUGAAUGGGCUGAAUAUGCAGCCUGAUGAUUCUGCUGUGUACUAUUGUGCCAGACAGUCACACUGA
This is a non-coding RNA of Poeciliopsis prolifica (blackstripe livebearer), 351 nucleotides long. The record is from the annotation of a RefSeq genome assembly. Lineage: Eukaryota; Metazoa; Chordata; Actinopteri; Cyprinodontiformes; Poeciliidae.